This 492-nucleotide ribosomal RNA is filed under the name uncultured bacterium. RNAcentral's name for it is "partial 16S ribosomal RNA". It matches the Rfam family "Bacterial small subunit ribosomal RNA", at positions 29 to 507 of the family's 1533-position model. The record is from RNAcentral.
AGUGAACGCUGGCGGUAGGCCUAACACAUGCAAGUCGAACGGCAGCACAGUAAGAGCUUGCUCUUACGGGUGGCGAGUGGCGGACGGGUGAGGAAUACAUCGGAAUCUACUUUUUCGUGGGGGAUAACGUAGGGAAACUUACGCUAAUACCGCAUACGACCUACGGGUGAAAGCAGGGGAUCUUCGGACCUUGCGCGAUUGAAUGAGCCGAUGUCGGAUUAGCUAGUUGGCGGGGUAAAGGCCCACCAAGGCGACGAUCCGUAGCUGGUCUGAGAGGAUGAUCAGCCACACUGGAACUGAGACACGGUCCAGACUCCUACGGGAGGCAGCAGUGGGGAAUAUUGGACAAUGGGCGCAAGCCUGAUCCAGCCAUACCGCGUGAGUGAAGAAGGCCUUCGGGCUGUAAAGCCCUUUUGUUGGGAAAGAAAAGCAGCAGGUUAAUACCCCGCUGUUCUGACGGUACCCAAAGAAUAAGCACCGGCUAACUUCGUG